UACGGAGGGUGCAAGCGUUAAUCGGAAUUACUGGGCGUAAAGGGUGCGCAGGUGGGUAUAUAAGUCAGAUGUGAAAGCCCUGGGCUUAACCUAGGAAUUGCGUUUGAAACUAUAUAGCUAGAGUGUGGCAGAGGGGAGUGGAAUUCCAUGUGUAGCAGUGAAAUGCGUAGAGAUGUGGAAGAACACCGAUGGCGAAGGCAGCUCCCUGGGUUAACACUGACGCUCAUGCACGAAUGCGUGGGGAGCAAACAGG
This 253-nucleotide unclassified non-coding RNA is filed under the name uncultured Gammaproteobacteria bacterium. Its description in RNAcentral is "contains 16S-23S intergenic spacer region". It matches the Rfam family "Bacterial small subunit ribosomal RNA", at positions 524 to 776 of the family's 1533-position model. Lineage: Bacteria; Pseudomonadati; Pseudomonadota; Gammaproteobacteria. The record is from RNAcentral.